Molecule: ribosomal RNA, 490 nt
Filed under: uncultured bacterium
Lineage: Bacteria
Description: partial 16S ribosomal RNA
Rfam family: Bacterial small subunit ribosomal RNA
Source: RNAcentral
AGUGAACGCUGGCGGUAGGCCUAACACAUGCAAGUCGAACGGCAGCACAGUAAGAGCUUGCUCUUACGGGUGGCGAGUGGCGGACGGGUGAGGAAUACAUCGGAAUCUACUUUUUCGUGGGGGAUAACGUAGGGAAACUUACGCUAAUACCGCAUACGACCUACGGGUGAAAGCAGGGGAUCUUCGGACCUUGCGCGAUUGAAUGAGCCGAUGUCGGAUUAGCUAGUUGGCGGGGUAAAGGCCCACCAAGGCGACGAUCCGUAGCUGGUCUGAGAGGAUGAUCAGCCACACUGGAACUGAGACACGGUCCAGACUCCUACGGGAGGCAGCAGUGGGGAAUAUUGGACAAUGGGCGCAAGCCCGAUCCAGCCAUACCGCGUGGGUGAAGAAGGCCUUCGGGUUGUAAAGCCCUUUUGUUGGGAAAGAAAAGCAGCAGGUUAAUACCCCGCUGUUCUGACGGUACCCAAAGAAUAAGCACCGGCUAACUUCG